CGCGUCGUCUCAUUGCAACUGAUCGCGAUUUGUGAAAAAACAUCGAUGCAUCGACAAUCGAUGUUUUUUUGGCGAUGUUUUCCGAUGUUUUCCGAUGUUUUUAUUGAUACCGAUGUUAAGCGAUGCAUCGAUGUUUGACAGAACAUCGGGCGUUAAAUUUCACAACAUUGCAGAACAUAUGGAUACACUGCCACAUAGAAAAAUUCGCGAAUUUGUUUCUUUUUUUUACCCUGUGUUUGCAAUGCCAAAAAUAACAACAAAGACAAGCUUUUGCUGGAGGCACUUUACAAAAUUGAUGGAAAUAGCGCGAAAUGCAACAUUUGCAACAAAGUUUUGAAGAUUGCGGGUAACACGACCAACAUGAAGGACCACCUGCGGUCCAUUCAUAAAAUAGAACAAAAUGUUGAAGAAAUGUUGUUUAAGAAUUGAAUUAACGAAAAAUAACGGAAUUGGUAGAAAACAUCGAUACAUCGAUGUUUAUAGCCGAUGUUUUACA
Drosophila mojavensis is the source of this 496-nucleotide long non-coding RNA. RefSeq lists it as uncharacterized. NCBI's taxonomy places the organism in Eukaryota, Metazoa, Arthropoda, Insecta, Diptera, Drosophilidae. The transcript is spliced from 2 exons. The record is from RefSeq and is a predicted model, not a curated record.